AGAGACAGCAGUCGCCACGGUAAAACAGAGGGUGCGAGCGUUAAUCGGAUUUACUGGGCGUAAAGCGUGCGUAGGCGGCUUUUUAAGUCGGAUGUGAAAUCCCUGAGCUUAACUUAGGAAUUGCAUUCGAUACUGGGAAGCUAGAGUAUGGGAGAGGAUGGUAGAAUUCCAGGUGUAGCGGUGAAAUGCGUAGAGAUCUGGAGGAAUACCGAUGGCGAAGGCAGCCAUCUGGCCUAAUACUGACGCUGAGGUACGAAAGCAUGGGGAGCAAACAGGAUUAGAUACCCCUGUAGUCCCUGUCUCUUAUAC
RNAcentral lists this ribosomal RNA (309 nucleotides) under uncultured bacterium. RNAcentral's name for it is "partial 16S ribosomal RNA". It matches the Rfam family "Bacterial small subunit ribosomal RNA", at positions 504 to 807 of the family's 1533-position model. The record is from RNAcentral.